CAUAUCUUCUCUGUUCAUCAAGAAUCAUAUCUAACUGCCGGUUCAGCUGCUUGAUUUCAAGAUGAAUACGAUUCUGUCCUUCAAAGACUUGUCUUAGCUCUCGAUCUCCUACACUCUCAAAUAUUUCCUCCGCUGAAAAGGAAAUAAAUAAAAAUGAUCAGAGUCACCUACACAUAUGUAGUUUUUGAAAUAACGUAAGUGACCAAAGUGCCAACAUUCAGCAAAAUUAGGACAUCACCAUCACAGUGGUACAAUCUCCCAAACAGAAAAUAU
This 273-nucleotide long non-coding RNA is filed under the name Homo sapiens (human). RNAcentral describes it as "HSALNT0394702". Lineage: Eukaryota; Metazoa; Chordata; Mammalia; Primates; Hominidae. The record is from RNAcentral.